Molecule: long non-coding RNA, 222 nt
Organism: Sinocyclocheilus grahami
Lineage: Eukaryota; Metazoa; Chordata; Actinopteri; Cypriniformes; Cyprinidae
Exons: 2
Source: RefSeq, a predicted model, not a curated record
GCCGUUAACAGCGCACACGAGCACGGAUUCGUUUAUCCACCUGCUUUCAUAAAGUGUCAUUAAUGAAAGGAACGUUGCAAAUGUAUAACCUGUGGUGUUUAAAACACUUACGGUUGUUGACCGCUCCUGUGACAGUGCAAAGUAUCUUACAAACAAGUUUAACGGAAAAUGAAAAGUCAAAUGCAUCAAGCACAGUGAUGCCCAUACCAGAUGACCUACAAA